GGAUUUCUGCCGAGGACGACCGGUCCGCCCUCUGGGCGAGUAUCUGGCUCGACCUGGGCAUCCUUCCAGAGAAUGUGUCUGCUCUUGACUGAGUGGUGCAGUAUCUGGAACUUUUACUUUGAGGAAAUUAGAGUGUUUCAAGCAGGCAUACGCCUUGAAUACAUUAGCAUGGAAUAAUAAGAUAGGACCUCGGUUCUAUUUUGUUGGUUUCUAGAGCUGAGGUAAUGAUUAAUAGGGAUAGUUGGGGGCAUUCGUAUUUAACUGUCAGAGGUGUAAUUCUUGGAUUUGUUAAAG
This 294-nucleotide ribosomal RNA is filed under the name uncultured marine eukaryote. Its description in RNAcentral is "partial 18S ribosomal RNA". The stretch from base 99 to 294 matches the Rfam family "Eukaryotic small subunit ribosomal RNA", at positions 737 to 934 of the family's 1831-position model. The record is from RNAcentral.